GAUCAUGGCUCAGAUUGAACGCUGGCGGAAUGCUUUACACAUGCAAGUCGAACGGUAGAGGGGGCAACCCUCGAGAGUGGCGAACGGGUGAGUAAUAUAUCGGAACGUGCCCAGUCGUGGGGGAUAACGUAGCGAAAGUUACGCUAAUACCGCAUACGAUCUACGGAUGAAAGCGGGGGACCGUAAGGCCUCGCGCGAUUGGAGCGGCCGAUAUCAGAUUAGGUAGUUGGUGGGGUAAAGGCUCACCAAGCCAACGAUCUGUAGCUGGUCUGAGAGGACGACCAGCCACACUGGAACUGAGACACGGUCCAGACUCCUACGGGAGGCAGCAGUGGGGAAUUUUGGACAAUGGACGCAAGUCUGAUCCAGCCAUUCCGCGUGCAGGAUGAAGGCCCUCGGGUUGUAAACUGCUUUUGUACGGAACGAAAAGGUUUCCAUUAAUACUGGGAGCUCAUGACGGUACCGUAAGAAUAAGCACCGGCUAACUACGUG
This 492-nucleotide ribosomal RNA is filed under the name uncultured bacterium. RNAcentral describes it as "bacterial SSU rRNA". It matches the Rfam family "Bacterial small subunit ribosomal RNA", at positions 15 to 507 of the family's 1533-position model. The record is from RNAcentral.